UACGUAGGGACCAAGCGUUGUUCGGAUUUACUGGGCGUAAAGGGUGCGUAGGCGGUGGGGUAAGUUGGAUGUGAAAUCUUGGGGCUUAACCUCAAAAUUGCAUUCAAUACUGCUCCGCUCGAGUUCUGUAGAGGAGAUUGGAAUUUACGGUGUAGCAGUGAAAUGCGUAGAUAUCGUAAGGAACGCCAGUGGCGAAAGCGAAUCUCUGGGCAGCAACUGACGCUGAGGCACGAAGGCCAGGGGAGCAAACGGG
RNAcentral lists this ribosomal RNA (253 nucleotides) under uncultured bacterium. RNAcentral's name for it is "partial 16S ribosomal RNA". It matches the Rfam family "Bacterial small subunit ribosomal RNA", at positions 524 to 776 of the family's 1533-position model. The record is from RNAcentral.